This 351-nucleotide ribosomal RNA is filed under the name Triticum aestivum (bread wheat). Its description in RNAcentral is "partial small subunit ribosomal RNA". The record is from RNAcentral. Lineage: Eukaryota; Viridiplantae; Streptophyta; Magnoliopsida; Poales; Poaceae.
AUGGCUGAUGGAUUCUACCUCAUGCAUCACCUGCUCGAGUACAGAAGGGAUAAUCAACGCCUUCGCAUGUCACCUACUACCAAUGAUGUUGAGAUUGUCAGCUGGGCCACAAGCAUAGGAAGGACACCGGAUCAUCGAAUCAGAGCUGGGUUUUAUCACGUACAGUGUAAACUUGCCCAAGUAGUUAUGAAGCAGGUCCUUGAACCAAUAGCGAUGUUCUACCAUGGGCCAAUCACGCGGGAAUAUGUCCGAGCACAGCUACUCGCCCAGUGUCUAGACCUGAAGCCUUUCAAGAAGCUCGGGCGCUUCCUCACUGACUAUGAAGAUUGGACCGCCAACAUGGAGGACUGA